RNAcentral lists this ribosomal RNA (253 nucleotides) under uncultured bacterium. RNAcentral's name for it is "partial 16S ribosomal RNA". It matches the Rfam family "Bacterial small subunit ribosomal RNA", at positions 524 to 776 of the family's 1533-position model. The record is from RNAcentral.
UACGAGGGGAGCUAGCGUUGUUCGGAAUUACUGGGCGUAAAGGGCGUGUAGGCGGUACCAUAAGUCAGAUGUGAAAGCCCUAGGCUUAACCUAGGAGGUGCAUUUGAUACUGUGGAACUAGAGAUCGAGAGAGGUAAGUGGAAUUACGAGUGUAGAGGUGAAAUUCGUAGAUAUUCGUAAGAACACCAGUGGCGAAGGCGACUUACUGGCUCGAUACUGACGCUGAGGCACGAAAGCGUGGGGAGCAAACAGG